Molecule: long non-coding RNA, 293 nt
Filed under: Mytilus galloprovincialis (Mediterranean mussel)
Lineage: Eukaryota; Metazoa; Mollusca; Bivalvia; Mytilida; Mytilidae
Source: RNAcentral
GUGUUCAAAUGUGCUCUCAUUAUAAUGCUGUAUAUUUCCUCUGCAUAUGCAUAAUAUAGGAUAGGAUCUGUCAAUGACUGUCGCUUUUUAAUCAAUUUUUCUACAUCACCACAGUGUAACACAUCAAAUCUGCAAUUUCAAAGAAUAGAAAUUUGUUAAUUUGUAACUUUUCAAUAGUGGCCUUAUACAAUUAGCAUAAAAAAAUAAUUUAGUAGCAGAAAAAAAGAAAGAAAAACAAAAAGUCUCAAUGUUUUGAUGUUUUGUCAAUGAAUUGGUGCAUGCUAAAUUUCCAG